GUCUGGGCACGAGGCACGGAGAGCACAAGUGUCCCUGUGUGCCUGUCCCCAAGCGGGGCAGAGGCAGGGCUAGAAGACGGGCAGCUUGGAGGAGGUGAGGGUGCAGGCGUUGAUGUCCUCCGUGUGCGCCGCGCGGUGCAGCGAGGGCUCCGACGCGCUGCGGUUGAUCUUGGGCAGGGAGUGUUGCAGCAGCUCGAUGGACGACAGGAUCUGGGGGAACACACCCAGUUAGGGGCUGCUCUGCCUAGGUCAGAGAGGCAGCUCUGCCUAGAACCGAAAUACCAACUGCCAAAGGAGCUGGGUUAUGAACAAAGGCAAAAAUAGGAACCAGGCUGCACUUCAUGUAACCCAAACCUUUCACCUGAGCAGAUUCUUUUGUGUGCUAAUGGCUAUUUAUACAAUACCCUGAAACUCCUGUGCACAAAACACACUUACCUGUGGAAACAGAGGUCGUUCUUCCCUAACCUUCUUCAAGCAAUCUGCUACAAGCCUCUUCAUUGCUUUGGGGCAGUUCUUGUACAGUUUACUGAGGUCUGGGGAAGCAUAACCUCGGCCAACCAUGAAAAUGAUCUGCAGAACAACAAGGAAGCAGCACAAACCAAAGUCAGGGAAGUGGUUUCACUCGUGGUGAUUAAAUCUGAGUACCAAAGGACAGCCCAGAGCCCUGCAGAUUGUCCCAGUGAGUUAACCAGGCUGAUGGUCCCACUGUGUGCAGGGUAGGAUGGGACUGCACCGGGAAUGCUGUGCUUUGGAAGGCUCAGCAGGAGAAGGAGCUGUUGAUGCUCCAUGACAUGGACAUGGGAGCUCCUUCUGCUGAGUCUACAGUGACAACUUGAUGUUCAGGGAUCUCUGAAUCCAUUCAGGUCCGAAAAGACCUCCAAGAUCAUCAAGUCCAACCCUGAAGUCAUGUUGUAAAAGGAGCUGCCAGUUGCAAGAGAUCAUCAGAACUAAUCACAACUAAUGCAGCAAAAAAGGAAAUGGACUGUUUUGAGACAAACAAUAAAAGAUGUUAUUAGUGUUGGAAAA
This is a long non-coding RNA of Chiroxiphia lanceolata (lance-tailed manakin), 1026 nucleotides long. RefSeq lists it as uncharacterized. The record is from RefSeq and is a predicted model, not a curated record. NCBI's taxonomy places the organism in Eukaryota, Metazoa, Chordata, Aves, Passeriformes, Pipridae. The transcript is spliced from 2 exons.